GAUGAACGCUAGCGGGAGGCCUAACACAUGCAAGCCGAGCGGUAGAGUUUCUUCGGAAACUUGAGAGCGGCGCACGGGUGCGUAACACGUGUGCAACCUACCUUUAUCUGGGGGAUAGCCUUUCGAAAGGAAGAUUAAUACCCCAUAAUAUAAUGAUUGGCAUCAAUUAUUAUUGAAAACUCCGGUGGAUAGAGAUGGGCACGCGCAAGAUUAGAUAGUUGGUGAGGUAACGGCUCACCAAGUCAAUGAUCUUUAGGGGUCCUGAGAGGGAGAUCCCCCACGCUGGUACUGAGGCACGGACCAGACUCGUACGAGAGGCAGCAGUGAGGAAGAUAGGACAAGGGGUGAGAGCCUGAUCCAGCCAUCCCGCGUGAAGGAUGACGGUCCUAUGGAUUGUAAACUUCUUUUGUACAGGGAUAAACCUACCCUCGUGAGGGUAGCUGAAGGUACUGUACGAAUAAGCACCGGCGAACUCUG
RNAcentral lists this ribosomal RNA (477 nucleotides) under uncultured bacterium. RNAcentral describes it as "partial 16S ribosomal RNA". It matches the Rfam family "Bacterial small subunit ribosomal RNA", at positions 28 to 505 of the family's 1533-position model. The record is from RNAcentral.